Molecule: ribosomal RNA, 333 nt
Filed under: uncultured eukaryote
Lineage: Eukaryota
Description: partial 18S ribosomal RNA
Rfam family: Eukaryotic small subunit ribosomal RNA
Source: RNAcentral
CCCUUAGAUGUUCUGGGCUGCACGCGCGCUACACUGAUGCGCUCAACGAGUUUACGACCUUGCCCGGAAGGGUUGGGUAAUCUUUUUAAAACGCAUCGUGAUGGGGAUAGAUUAUUGCAAUUAUUAAUCUUUAACGAGGAAUUCCUAGUAAGCGCGAGUCAUCAGCUCGUGCUGAUUACGUCCCUGCCCUUUGUACACACCGCCCGUCGCUACUGCCAACUGAGAUGGGUCCUGAAUUGUUAGGAACGCCCGUCAAGGGGCCUACCCGGUCCCUAGUGCGGUGACGAGAAGAACUGUAAAUGGCAUAUCUUGUAGGGAGUAAAAGUCGUAACA